RNAcentral lists this ribosomal RNA (123 nucleotides) under Saimiri boliviensis boliviensis (Bolivian squirrel monkey). The record is from RNAcentral. Lineage: Eukaryota; Metazoa; Chordata; Mammalia; Primates; Cebidae.
GUCUACGGCCAUACCACCCUGAACACACCUGACUUCGUCUGAUCUCAGAAGCUAAGUAGGGUUGGUUGUGCCUCGUUAGUACUUGGAUGGGAGACCACCUGGGAAUACUGGGUACUGUAGGGG